This is a long non-coding RNA of Tupaia belangeri chinensis (Chinese tree shrew), 376 nucleotides long. RefSeq lists it as uncharacterized. NCBI's taxonomy places the organism in Eukaryota, Metazoa, Chordata, Mammalia, Scandentia, Tupaiidae. The record is from RefSeq and is a predicted model, not a curated record. The transcript is spliced from 3 exons.
AAGAAUCAAAAUGUAAAAGUCUUUGGAGGUUCAGAUUGUAUUUAUUUAGAAGAUCUAGAUCAAGCACUGAACAGAGAAUCAGAACAAUGAGGCCAUGAUAACUCCAAAGCCAUUUUGACUUCAGCAAGCCAGAAUGAGAUGAAGAUGAAGAUAUGGAGGAGCUUCAAGAGAGCAGCAUACGACAGGGAUGAAGGAUGUCCCUAAGCUCCGGAAAGGGCAUGGCUGCUGGCACCCAGCUCUGACCUCCCAGAAGCAUGGCGACUGUGUCAACAAAAAUCAGAUGUGCAAAGAUCCAAGGCACGCUGUUCUGCUAGCUAAAGAGAUAACAAACCACCCACCCUCACCCUAAAAGCUCCUUUCUCAGGUAAAGUAUACA